AGAGUUUGAUCCUGGCUCAGGAUGAACGCUGGCGGCGUGCCUAACACAUGCAAGUCGAACGGUCGAAAGACAGUGGCGCACGGGUGAGUAACACGUGGCUGAUCUACCUCGAAGCCGGGGAUAACUUUGGGAAACCAGGGCUAAUACCCGAUAAGCUCCCGCCAAUCAGAACAGUGGGAGAAAAGGUUAACUACUUCGAGAUGAGGCUGCGGUCCAUCAGCUAGAUGGUGAGGUAACGGCUCACCAUGGCGACGACGGAUAGGGGGCCUGAGAGGGUGACCCCCCACACUGGGACUGAGACACGGCCCAGACUCCUACGGGAGGCAGCAGUGAGGGAUAUUGCACAAUGGGCGCAAGCCUGAUGCAGCGACGCCGCGUGGGUGAUGAAGGUCUUCGGAUCGUAAAACCCUUUUCUGUGUGACGAGACAAGGACGGUAGCACAGGAAUAAGCCUCGGCUAACUACGUGCCAGCAGCCGCGGUAAUUC
This 486-nucleotide ribosomal RNA is filed under the name uncultured bacterium. Its description in RNAcentral is "bacterial SSU rRNA". It matches the Rfam family "Bacterial small subunit ribosomal RNA", at positions 8 to 526 of the family's 1533-position model. The record is from RNAcentral.